This 416-nucleotide ribosomal RNA is filed under the name uncultured bacterium. Its description in RNAcentral is "bacterial SSU rRNA". It matches the Rfam family "Bacterial small subunit ribosomal RNA", at positions 362 to 773 of the family's 1533-position model. The record is from RNAcentral.
UAUUGGUCAAUGGACGCGAGUCUGAACCAGCCAAGUAGCGUGAAGGAUGACUGCCCUAUGGGUUGUAAACUUCUUUUAUAUGGGAAUAAAGUUUUCCACGUGUGGAAUUUUGUAUGUACCAUAUGAAUAAGGAUCGGCUAACUCCGUGCCAGCAGCCGCGGUAAUACGGGGGAUGCAAGCGUUAUCCGGAUUUAUUGGGUUUAAAGGGUGCGUAGGCUGUGAGGUAAGUCAGCGGUGAAAUGCCCCCGCUCAACGGGGUGAAGUGCCAUUGAUACUGCCUUGCUGGAAUGCGGAUGCCGUGGGAGGAAUGUGUGGUGUAGCGGUGAAAUGCAUAGAUAUCACGAAGAACUCCGAUUGCGAAGGCAGCUCACUGGACUGGUCACUGACACUGAGGCUCGAAAGUGUGGGUAUCAAAC